Molecule: long non-coding RNA, 6367 nt
Organism: Columba livia (rock pigeon)
Lineage: Eukaryota; Metazoa; Chordata; Aves; Columbiformes; Columbidae
Exons: 2
Source: RefSeq, a predicted model, not a curated record
GAGCGGCCGCCGCUGUGCGCCGGAAGUGUAGCGGAGUCCCCGUGGCCGCCAGAGGGACGGACCGGGCGCCACUUCCUCCCGCCGCCGUGUGUCGCUCGGACUCCGCGUCCCGCCGCCAUCUUGAGGCGGGGCCACGGUCGGAACGGCCGAAGCUUUCUCGGUAGCGAGGUGGAGGAGGUGCCGGCGCCAGGUGGGGACGGUCCGGCCGCCAACGCGUGGCAGAGGCCGCAGGCGCCUCCCGACGGGGCCGGUCCGGCCCGGGAGCGGCUCUCGGCUUCGCCCGAGCGCAUGUGUGGAGAUGCGGUGUUCGCCUCCCUCCUGACGCUGCCGCCGAAGUGAGGCGUGCCCGUGGUGGUCUCACCUCUGGUGACAGUGUUGUGUAUUUCCUGCUGCAGUCAUUCACUGGAGCAUAUCCUCUGAAAAAGUACAGCUGCAGUGUUGAACCCAGUAAGCUGUUGAAGAGGAACAGAACCCUCCACCUCCUUACACUCUCCAGCCCCAGGAUGUACUUCACUUGGAGAUAAACAUGGUCCAAACAGACAGCAAACUGGUCAGAGGACUGUAAUGAUGGAAUAGGACUGAGUAAAGAUGUCCAGCAUAACCUUAAUAGAAAUGUGACUGUCCAGGUUUUGCUUAACAUAGAAAUAGUCAUGUGGAAUGAAGAAUGAAAGAACAUAGAAACAUAGAAUCCUUCUGGUUGGAAAAGACCUUUAAGAUCAGCAAGUCCAACUGUCAACCUAGCACUGCCAAGGACACCUCUAAAUCACGUUCCUAAGAAGAUCGUCUGUGCAUCUUUUAAACCUCUCCAGGGAUGGUGACUCCACCACCUCCCUGGGCAGCCUGUUCCAAUGCCUUACAACCUUUUCCGUGAAUAUUUUUUUCCUCAUAUCCAAUCUAAACCUCCCCUAGCACAACCUGGGUCCAUUUCCUCUUGUCCUGUCACUUGCUACCUGGGAGAAGAGACCAACCCCCUCCAUGCUACAACCUCCUUUCAGGUAGUUGUAGAGAGUGAUAAGGUCUCUCCUCAGCCUCAUUUGUAUAUUAAUCAGCUGGGUUACUCUUGCUGGCAGUACAAAGGUCAUGGAGAGUGAGAAGGAUCACAGCAGUGGAAAAUGUAGAUAGCAAAUAACAAGUCUUUAGAAAAUAAUCCGUAUAAGGAAGAGUAUUUUAAUUGUGAAGAACACACUUGGAAGCCAACAAUACAGAGAAAGCCACAGUUUAAUCAUAGCAGAGAGUAAGUUGUAUCAGGGUAUCCAUAUUUUGUGCAGGCUUACAAUUCUGUGUCAGGUCAGAGCACAGGACAGCCAGGGCAUUCCUCUGGCUUAUUUACUCAUGUGCAGGCAUUUUGCAGUAAUUUUUAUUCUGUCAUGGGAUCAUGGCAUUAUGCAGGCUGGAGGUUUGAAUGUGAUCAGGUCCAACACACCCCACCAGCCCACCCACAAAGUGGGGACAACUUAGACUGAUUGUGACCUCAUUCCUGGAGUUUCGAGUAUGUCCACAUCUUUUCCAAUGUUUGGCUUUUCUGGGGUCCCAGCUUCUAUCUGUUGCCUGUCAUCCUGCCACUGUCCUACACCCAGGAAGAGUCUCGAGCUUGUCUUCUCUGCAUCCUCUGAUCUAGACAGCAGUUGUGGACAUCAGUAAGAUCUCCCACCAGCCUUCUUUCUGCAGACUGAACAAGCCCAGUUCCCUCAGCUUCACAUUAUACAUUAUGUGCUCUAGCCCUUGUGACCAUCUUGGUGACCCUGUCCAGGACUUGCUGCAGUUUGUUAUAGUCUUUCCUGUUCUGGCGAGCCCCAGAUUGGACACAAUACUCCAAAUGAAGUCACACAAGUACUAAACAGAAGGGAAUGAUCAUUUCCCUCAAGCUAUUGGCUACACUCAGCUGUAACACAGCUGAGUAUGGGCGUACUGUUGACCCAUGUUUGAGUUGCUGUCCACCAGGACCCUAAACCCUUGCAAAGCUGCUUUCCACCCAGUUGUCCCCAGCUUGUGCUGUUGCAUGGAGUUGUUCCAUUCCAGACUUUGCCUCUGUUGAACUUAGUGGGAUUUCUGUCAGCCCAUUUCUUCAGUCCAGUGCCCUCUGAAGAGCAGCUCUACUCCUUCUUAUUUAUCCCUAGCAAUGGAUUGGCUGACUGAAAUGCACUCCAUCACCCAGGUCAUUGUUAAAGGUAUUAAAACAGUGUCAUCAGCUCCAGUAUCAGCCCCUCGGGGGAGCUACUAGUAGAUGGCUGCCGGCUGGACUUCCUACCGCUGCCCAUCAGCAGUUUGCAAGUCAGCAGAAGAAAAGCAAGUUGAAGCUAUAAUCUGAGCACAUUUGGCCCACAGUCGAAUUUUGUGUUGAUCUGAGUGUUUUGGAGAGCUAAUAGUGAAGUCUUACCAGUUCUACUUGUUUGCCUUUGAUGUGAGAUCAGCAGAAGUCUCUUUCCCUCACCCAGAAUUAAUGCUAUUAACCACCAUUUAGAAAGCUGGUAGCAAAAUGUUAGGGAACGUACCCAGCAUAGAUGAGGAAGAAACAGCAGUUGUGUGGAAGCUCCAACCUACAGUUCUCCUGAGCAAGAAACAAGAAUGCAUCCUGCUGCCGGUUUCCCAGAGUUGCUAAUUCACCAUCUAGCUCUCAGUUAGAAUCACAGAAUGUCCUUAUUUGGAAGAGACCCACACAGAUCAUCGAGUCCAGCUCCUGUCCCUGCACAGGACACCCCACAGUUCACACUGUGUGUCUGAGGGUGUUGUCCAGUCUCUUCUUGAACACCGUCAGGCUUGGGGCCGUGACACCUCCCUGGGGAGCCUGUUCCAGUGUCCAGCACCCUCUGGGUGAAGAAGCUUUUCCAAAAGUCCAACCUGAACCUCCCCUGGCACAUAAACCUGCCAUUCCCUCGGGUUCUGUCAUUGGUCACUAAAGAAAAGAGUUCGGCACCUGCCCCUCCUCCUCCUCCUGAGGGGAAGCUGUAGCCACCAUGAGGUCUCCCUUCAGUCUCCUCUUCUCCAGGCUGAACAAACCAAGUGACUGUAGCCACUCCUUGUACAGCUUCCUCUCCAAACACUUCACCAACUUUGUAGCCUUCUUCUGGACACUCUCCAGUACCUUUAUAUUAAGUAACUUCCAAUUGUGAUUUUUAAAGCCUGUAACUGAUUAUGGCCUACCUAACCAGUCACAGCUCUUCAGAUAUGAUUCACUGAAAACCUUCUUGAGGGACUUUACACCAGGCUGGUGUUGUACAGUAGGCAUCACCUGAGGUUUCUGAUGAGGGAUAUUUCGUUAGAGGAGUUCCUACCACAUGAAAAUUAAACUGACAUAUGUUUUCUCAAUGUUUUCUCAGAGUUUACACUGCACAAGUGUUAUAAACUAAACUAGCAUUGCUCAGGGUGCUGCAAUGGGCUCCAGAGUGCCAGUGUGGACGCUACUGCAUGUCCUCAACAUACCCAGACCUACAGUAGCAGUGGGCACCUCUGUGGUGUCCUUUCCCUGCCCACACAAACCUGAAACAUUUUCUGCUGAAACUACUCUCUGCUCAACAGUAUCAGAGGCAGCACAUUCAUCAGAAUAUGUUUUGGCUUUUUUUUUUUUCCUGAGAACUAGUAUUUUGAAUGUUGUUACUGUGAAAAACUGAAUGUUUCAGUAUGCGACAAACCAGCAAUGGGGCUGUUAGCAUCUAUCUCUUCUUUCCACCAAGCUGCUCACCACAUAGAAUAGUGGUGAGCACAGCGAAGACCUUAGGGUGGUAAUGUGUCUGAAGGCACUUUGAUGAGAUAGCUGGAGCCUGGUCCCCAUUACCAGGAGUAAAGCCGAAAGCUGCAGGACAAGACUGGGACAGGCCACGCUCUGUAGGUUUUUCUUGGAUGCAGAAUAUCAGCAAACAGGUUUGCCUAUGGAUUUUGGGGCCAGCUUGCUGCAGCCCAAGGCCAUAGGCUAGAAAUGAUGCCCAAGGAAAACAGCUAAGUACCUGGUGAAUUUUCCAGGAGUUAAAAAGUCUGAGGGUUUGGGGUAACAUAGUGGAGAACUUUGUUUGCAAACCAGUCCCGGAGAGAAGAGACAGGUCCCAUGCAGAAACACCACUGGGUUCUUGAUGACAGGUCAAGUGAUAGACUACAGAGACUGAAUGCACGUGCAGCUGCCUGCUCCAGUUAACUGUUGAAUUAACCAUGGUGUCCAGCAGUGGCUGAAGAACUAACGAGCACUUCACAGCACCUGCCCUCAGACUGGCAGAUUUUGGCUGCUGGAACAGUCACUGGAGAGAAAUGCUUCUGUGGAUGAAAAUUAGGUGCUUGUAGGAGACUUCCUAAGUAUGGCCAUAACUGCACAUGCAGGCUAGAAUUAUAGAUUUGUGCUUUUUGUGUUACUGAGGUAGUGCUUUUCUUAUCAGCGAGCAAGAAAGAAAGGGAAGUGUUCCCUGCAAAAGAACAUACCGAGGUGGUUGUGUUGGGUGCAUCCCAGUAAAGCUGCAUGAGGACUAGCUUCUGCCAUUGCAGCCAGUCAUCUAAGGAGACAUUAGGUAUCAGGUAGUGUUUUAUUACACAAGUUAUUUAUACAGAGGUGCCUUUCUGUCAGAAUGGCAGCCUUUAUCCCCAUUAGUUGCUACCAUCAGUAGCAAGAUCACUUCCUCCCAAACUGAGGCAACGGUGGUGGCACUUUGAUGUCUUGGCCUCUUUCCAGUUUCUUCUCACAGUCAACAAGGUAAUUGACACCAUCAAUGACGAUCUGGACUAGCUCUACCUACAACAAGAAAAAGAAAAUAGUGGUAAUAGAAGCUUUGACUAGUGCUAGAUGAAGGGAAAAUUGGCUUGUACUGAAAUGACAGCAGUUAGAGCUCUAAAUAAGGAGGGUCAAAGCAGAGAGGUCACACACCCUGUGCACAGGGAGUGUAGGUCCUGCUGGUCCAGUGAAAACCCAUAGUAAUUCGCUUUUUGUAUUUGGCUGGAGUUUGAUCUGCCAACAACAUAAAUUUUCAAAUAGGCCCCUAAAGUUAUUUCCACCAAGUUCUACUCCUUCUCAUAUUCCUGUAGGAAGAAACCAAACCAAAGGAAGUGCUUAAAUAAAAUGCUUAAGCAUGAGGUGGGAGACCUACUCCAAAUGUGACCAGCAUGAGGGUGCAGGAUCCUCCCCAGAUGUUUGCUGAGAAGUAAUACCUGGCACAUCUCAUGGUGCCUUUCUGUAGGGCUCCCCACACUCAUGUAGGAGGAUGAAGAAACAAAACCAGCAGUGCUGUGAGUGCUCAGCAUCACUGGGCAGUUCUCGGUUAAGCAGUAAAUGCUUACUCUGUCUUUUGAGCUCCCAAGCCUGUGCCACCCCUGCACUUGGAGGAGCAUUUAUACGAGCACAGAGCCAGAUGGAAACUAACUGGGAUGGUGAUGCAAGGAGAGGAAGGCAGGGGUUCCUUGCCCCAAAUUCACAGCAGCUCGGAAUGCUGCUGGAGGCACGGGAUCGGAGUCCUUCGCAGGGCUGGGACUGGAAGGGUGGCAGGACUACCUGUUCAGCCACAUCCUUUAGAGUGCCUGAGAAAGCUCAUCAAACCAGUCUUGUACUUCUUCUCAGGGAUGGCUCAGGGCCCUAUGUUCCCCUGCAGAUGACCAUGAACCUGCUGCAAUUAUUUGCCAUCUGUGGGGAAACACGUCCUACUUAUGCUGCCAGGCAUGCUGGCUUUGCUGGGGCGGUUUUGCCAAGCCCAGGACCCACAUCUCUGAAGCAGAGACUCCCAUCCUAAACUCUUGCUGGCUCUACAUCAUCAAUCAUUCCUUUGUUUUCGGCUCUUGGUUUACAUUGGCAGGGGAGGGAUUAGCUCCAGGCCCAGAGCAGCACCAAGAUUUGUAGUUUUAUGUGGCAGGGGUUAGUGAUGUCUUUGUAACCUUUUCUAAAAUUACUGAACAAUACAAGGUGCCUUGUUCCCAGCAGACUUUCUCCACAGGUGGUGACAUACGAGGACCACAGGCCCUGUGGUGUUGCUAGCCAGCAAGCUACAGCACUGGUUUUUCUUAAUCUUCAGGAAACAGUUAAUUAGCAACAUUUAAUGACUGGUUUGUUAAAACUGAAUUCAAACACUAAAUCCCAUUGUCUCUUUAUUAUAACACUUGCUGAUUUUCGAUGGAUUUGUUUUUACUAUAAAGCAUUUCAGUGGCUUAGCAGUUUAUUUUAUUGUCUUACACAGACCAGCUGUGUUGGGAAAUCAGAGGUCUGAAUUUGCAGCCUCCAGGAGAAAAGGAAUUUCAUAUUAAGUUUGCAUUGACCAGUAGCAGAAACAAAGCAAAAAUACAAGCAAUUUUAUCUUGGACAAUUGGGAACAUAAUUCAGUUGUGCAAACACAUUUACCACAUAAUGGAAUUUAUUAUAUACUGAAAAAAUAUGUCUUAUAAUAAAACAUUUCUAUCCCCUUGA